Molecule: ribosomal RNA, 253 nt
Filed under: uncultured bacterium
Lineage: Bacteria
Description: partial 16S ribosomal RNA
Rfam family: Bacterial small subunit ribosomal RNA
Source: RNAcentral
UACGGGGGGGGCAAGCGUUGUUCGGAAUUACUGGGCGUAAAGGGUGCGUAGGCGGCUUUCUAAGUUGGAUGUGAAAACUCUGGGCUCAACCCAGAGCCUGCAUCCAAAACUGGAGAGCUUGGGUACUGGAGGGGAAAGCGGAAUUCCUGGUGUAGCGGUGACAUGCGUAGAUAUCAGGAGGAACACCGGUGGCGAAGGCGGCUUUCUGGACAGUUACCGACGCUGAGGCACGAAAGCUAGGGGAGCAAACAGG